This 59-nucleotide ribosomal RNA is filed under the name Halobacillus trueperi. Its description in RNAcentral is "partial 23S ribosomal RNA". The record is from RNAcentral. Lineage: Bacteria; Bacillati; Bacillota; Bacilli; Caryophanales; Bacillaceae.
AUAGUUAAGUGAAUAAGGGCGCACGGUGGAUGCCUUGGUACUAGGAGCCGAUGAAGGAC